UUAAGUAGGCGGAGGAGAAGAAACCAAAAAGGAUUCCCUUGGUAACGGCGAGUGAAUGGGGAGAAGCUCAAACUUCAAAUCAGGCUUGUCCUGACUUGUAAUCACGAAACGCUUUCCAACAGCGAGCGCGGAUGUAAGCCUUUUGGAAAAAAGCACGAGCAAGGGUUAGGGUCCUGCUUGCCAUUCGUAGUCUCCUGUGUACGGUUUGCGUUCUCAGAGUCGUGUUCCUUGGGAUUGGAGCGCAAAGUGGGUGGUACUCUUCACCUAAAGCUGAACAUCUGCUCAAGACCGAUAGCAAACAAGUACCAUGAGGGAAAGAUGAAAAGGACUUUGGAAAGAGAGUUAAGAGUGCAUGAAGUUGCUGGGAGGGAAGUGAACUGAACAAGUUUCGUUGGUGGGAUUGCCGCGUUGGCGCUGGAUGGUGGUGUGCCUCGUGGCGCAUUGCUCUGACAGUGCGAGCGUGGUGUUUCUUGCCAGCAGCGUUGGCCUCUGUGCGGGGAUGAGCAAUUCAGCGUGGGCUCGGGAGUGAAGUUGCGACCUCACGAAAGCCCAUGUGUCGUCUUGCCCCCGGACUGAGCAGAUUGCAAGUGGCAUGUCAGCGAGUUGCUGAUGCUCGCCGUUUUGCAACACCUGACUACAUGGUUUGGUUCGCCCCGUCUUGAAACACGGACCAAGGAGUCUAAUGUGCAUGCGAGUUCUUGGGUUUUACGCACGCCAGCGCAAUGAGAGUGAGUGCUUGGAUUCCUGCACCAGCAACCAACUGAUCGAUUGAGAGAUGUUUGUGGGUGAGCAUGCACGCUAGAACCCGAAAGGUGGUGAACUAUGCCUGAGAAGUGCGAAGUCAGGGGAAACUCUGAUGGAGGCUCGUAGUGAUACUGACGUGCAAAUCGUUCGUCUGACUUGGGUAUAGGGGCGAAAGACUAAUCGAACCAUCUAGUAGCUGGUUCCCUCCGAAGUUUCCCUCAGGAUAGCUGGAGCUGGGCAGUUUUAUCAGGUAAAGCGAAUGACUAGAGGCAUUGGGGGCAUGUUGCCCUUGACCUAUUCUCAAACUUUAAAUGGGUAAGCUCCAAUGGUUGCCUUGGCGAACCAUUGGGAGGAAUGACAGCUCUAAGUGGGCCAUUUUUGGUAAGCAGAACUGGCGAUGAGGGAUGAACCUAACGUUGGGGUAAAGUGCUAGACUGCUCGCUCAUGAGAUACCACAAAGGGUGUUGGUUCAUACAAACAGCAGGACGGUGGUCAUGGAAGUCGAAAUCCGCUAAGGAGUGUGUAACAACUCACCUGCCGAAUGGACUAGCCCCGAAAAUGGAUGGCGCUUCAGCGAGUGACUCAUCCCCGACCAUCGUCGCAAACACAGCUUCGAUGAGUAGGAGGGCGUGGUGGUUGUAGCGAAGCCUCCGCGUGAGCGAAGGUGAAGGAGCCCUAGUGCA
RNAcentral lists this ribosomal RNA (1427 nucleotides) under Amphidinium steinii. Its description in RNAcentral is "LSU rRNA". It matches the Rfam family "Eukaryotic large subunit ribosomal RNA", at positions 42 to 1446 of the family's 3401-position model. Lineage: Eukaryota; Dinophyceae; Amphidiniales; Amphidiniaceae. The record is from RNAcentral.